UGAACAAGGGGUUCAGUAUCAUUUCAGUCUUCUUGACUUUAUUGAGACUUGCUUUGUGGCCUAACAUGUGAUCCAUCCUGGGGA
Mustela erminea (ermine) is the source of this 84-nucleotide long non-coding RNA. RefSeq lists it as uncharacterized. The record is from RefSeq and is a predicted model, not a curated record. NCBI's taxonomy places the organism in Eukaryota, Metazoa, Chordata, Mammalia, Carnivora, Mustelidae. The transcript has 3 exons.